RNAcentral lists this ribosomal RNA (845 nucleotides) under uncultured fungus. Its description in RNAcentral is "eukaryotic LSU rRNA". It matches the Rfam family "Eukaryotic large subunit ribosomal RNA", at positions 117 to 821 of the family's 3401-position model. Lineage: Eukaryota; Fungi. The record is from RNAcentral.
GAAAUCUGGCUGGUUUACUAGUCCGAGUUGUAAUUUAAAGAAGCGUUUUCGGUGGCAGCCUGGGUAUAAAUCCUUUGGAAUAGGGUAUCAUAGAGGGUGAGAAUCCCGUCUUUGACCUAGUGCAUGCUACUAUGUGAUACGUUUUCAAAGAGUCGAGUUGUUUGGGAAUGCAGCUCAAAAUGGGUGGUAAAUUUCAUCUAAAGCUAAAUAUUGGCGAGAGACCGAUAGCGAACAAGUACCGUGAGGGAAAGAUGAAAAGAACUUUGAAAAGAGAGUUAAACAGUGCGUGAAAUUGUUGAAAGGGAAACGUUUGACACCAGUCAUGUGGGUGGAAAAUCAGUCUUUUGCAUUGGGGAGUUGUAAGGGUUCGGACCGCAAGGCCGGCUUUUGCUUCAUCUUUGGUGUAAGUGAUGCACUUUUUCAUCUACAGGUCAACAUCAGUUUCUUUUGCUGGACAAAACUCCGAGAGAAGGUAGCAGCUUAGGCUGUGUUAUAGCUCUGGAGCGAUACAGUGAAGGGGACUGAGGUUUUCGCAGCGUGUGCUCUCGGGCAAGGCUGGAUGGGUGCUAUGGGAUCGUUCGGGGUACAAUGCCUGGCAUUUUGCUUCGUGUCUUUUCUAUACUCGCUCAACUCAGCUCUUCCACGCUUAGGAUGUCGACUUAAUGGUUUUAAACGACCCGUCUUGAAACACGGACCAAGGAGUCUAACAUAUAUGCAAGUGUUUGGGUGGCAAACCCAUGCGCGUAAUGAAAGUGAACGUAGGUGCGAUCCGCAAGGUGCAGCAUCGACCGAUCUUGAUAUUUUUGGAUAGAUUUGAGUAAGAGCAUAUAUGCUGGGACCCGAAA